UACGGAGGGUGCAAGCGUUAAUCGGAAUUACUGGGCGUAAAGCGUGCGUAGGCGGUCCGCUAAGUCAGAUGUGAAAGCCCCGGGCUUAACCUGGGAACUGCAUUUGAAACUGGCGAACUAGAGUUGAGUAGAGGAAAGUGGAAUUUCAGGUGUAGCGGUGAAAUGCGUAGAUAUCUGAAGGAACACCAGUGGCGAAGGCGACUUUCUGGACUCAAACUGACGCUGAGGUACGAAAGCGUGGGUAGCAAAC
RNAcentral lists this ribosomal RNA (250 nucleotides) under uncultured bacterium. RNAcentral describes it as "partial 16S ribosomal RNA". It matches the Rfam family "Bacterial small subunit ribosomal RNA", at positions 524 to 773 of the family's 1533-position model. The record is from RNAcentral.